CCUAAAAAUAGCCCAUGAUGUCACCCCAAGGCCUUCCCAUUGGCUUGCGUCGCUCUCAGGGGGGCGGGCCCGCCCGUCGCUAUGGAGACCCCACCCUAGAAGNNNNNNNNNNNNNNNNNNNNNNNNNNNNNNNNNNNNNNNNNNNNNNNNNNGUGGGCUGACGUCUUGGGGUUUGACUGUCCUGUGACGGUGGCCGCGGCGACCUGGAGGACUGGAGCUGACGCUCGCAACUUCAGACAGAGGCGGGCUCAAAUUCAGGGCUUACGACCGGGAUGCAAGGGAUACGGAGACCCGGAAGGCUGGGGAACCGGGCCAGUUGUCUGGGCCGAGAACGUGGGGGCGGUAGUAUUUCUCCCCUUUGUGGGGAUCGAAGUCACCCACGGGCAUUUCUCCACAGCGCGGGACCCGGAGGCUGAGAGCUCGGAUUUGUACCCCCCCCCCCCCCCCCCCCCCGCGCGCUUCCGGGGAGCCGGAACGCCGCCCUUAAGUAGUUCUCUUAAGCCUCCUGUGGGGGCGAGUGAAAGUGCGCUUACGGUUAGGGGCGGUGUCGGGGAGUGGACCCCCCACAGUGAGAACGCUUCGAGUUUAUUUCUUGGUCAAGUUCGGGAGCAACCGUUGGAGCCGCUAUCUGGCUGUGCCUAGAGCCGAGUGAUUUGCAUUGCUCGAAACCCGGCACUCCGCUAAGUCCCCGCUGCGCCCCAUUUCAUUCUCCCGCACCAUGAGGGAGAGGGUGCGGGGGGGGGUUGCAGUUUUGCCUUGGUGGGAAGGUUUUUAUGUGAGGUAGUAGGAGCGAACUCAGCGUCCAAUUGGGAAUGAGCGUUUAUUUAGAGACUCCGAAACUCGGGAACCCCGGGAUCGCCUCCUCCACCCCACCCCCCACCCCAUACACCACUCCCGCCCUGAUUUGCUUCCGGGAAGACAAGUCCCGAGAACAGCAGACACGCCAAAAGUCACGCAGCGAAUUAGGGGUAGAAUCAGGAUUUAAAAUCUCUGCUGCUCGCCGGGUGAUGGGCCCAUGUCCUGUGCAGCCUCUAGGAAGCGCUAGACACAUGGAAAAAGAAAUGGGCUACUCCAGCUCUAGGUGCCAGCACUGUUUGUGUUUCCUUGGACACUCCACCCGCUUGCCAGUUGAACACUGGCCUGGUUUGGGCUUUUCUGAGAUGACAGUGAUGAUGACGAUGACGAUGACAACGAUGAGUUAAUAAAGGCACCUGGGUUCCUUUCAAGCUCUCCCCCUCCACCCUCUCGUCAUGGUAGUCUGCAUGAAUUGGAAGGCAUGGGGCCUUCUGGUCUGGAUGAGCCUGUGGUUAAAGACAGCAGACGUGCAUGGAGUCCAGAGAGGCCUCUGGGACUUGAGAUGGGCACUGAUAGUCUCCCAAAGACCCUGGGACCCCACUCACCAGUGCCAUGGAAGGUAAAAGUUGUCCUCAGUGUCACUGGAGAACAUUUGGAGGGCAUUUGGGCCACCUGCCCUUGAAGAGUACAUGGCAAUUGUUGAAUGCCUGAAUCGCCUUAAUUUUUGCACUUGGCAAACAAGACUUGACCGAACCUUCCAGAAGUGGGAUGAAUAAUAAAUAUGAGGG
This is a long non-coding RNA of Dasypus novemcinctus (nine-banded armadillo), 1583 nucleotides long. Lineage: Eukaryota; Metazoa; Chordata; Mammalia; Cingulata; Dasypodidae. The record is from Ensembl.